RNAcentral lists this non-coding RNA (45 nucleotides) under Schistosoma mattheei. The record is from RNAcentral. Lineage: Eukaryota; Metazoa; Platyhelminthes; Trematoda; Strigeidida; Schistosomatidae.
AUCCAGCUGACGAGUCUCAAACAGGACGAAACGCGCAUCCUGGAU